UCUUUGCUAGUAUAUCGGUUAGUACACGCGCCUGUCAUUGGGACAUUGGUACGCGCGAAAGCUGGGUUCGACUCCCAGGCAGAGAG
RNAcentral lists this transfer RNA (86 nucleotides) under Asterophora parasitica. Its description in RNAcentral is "tRNA-Asp". Lineage: Eukaryota; Fungi; Basidiomycota; Agaricomycetes; Agaricales; Lyophyllaceae. The record is from RNAcentral.